Molecule: long non-coding RNA, 143 nt
Organism: Drosophila albomicans
Lineage: Eukaryota; Metazoa; Arthropoda; Insecta; Diptera; Drosophilidae
Exons: 2
Source: RefSeq, a predicted model, not a curated record
UAUUGGAUGUGACCCUGUUCGUGGUGCACGGUAAAAAACUGACUUUGGGUAACCGUAGUGCACUGCUUGAUGCGCACAUCAUCCGUAAGGUAGAAGUCCCAGGCGCUGGCAUGGCAGAUCAAAUCCCGACCAUCAGAGGGCUU